UUUUCCAGGCAAGAGUACUGGAGUGGGUUGCCAUUGCCUUCUCCAACCACCCUAUGAAGUAAAUAAUAUUAUUAUUCCCAUUUAUACAGAUGAGAAAACAGACUCCUGAGAAACAAGUUAUGAAGCUCAGGGUCCCAGCUAACGAAAGGCUGAGCCAGGUUUUGAACCGGGGUCUUGAGACCUGGAGCUGGUCACCAUUCAUAGGAAACUAUCUAAGGAGCAACAAACCUUUUAAGUUGACAGCCUUACCUUUCAAUCCCCCAAACCACCUCACAGGCCGCAAGGAACCCCCAGCAAUUGGAGAGUGGAAGAGAGUGAAACAAACAUAAGCUCCCGAGCUUGUCCCAUCCAGACGGUGCUUGUGUCUGAGUUGUCACUUAGUUCAAGGAUGGCCAAAUGAAAUCCUGUGACCCUAAACUGAGCCAUCAGUCAAUUCAGAGACCACUAGGAAUUUGGAAGUACAAACAGUCAAAGCCACUGGCUAGAGAGUCAAGUUUCUAUCAUCUGCCUAUCAAGAUUCUGAUCUCCAGGGAGACUUCCCUAGGGUCCACCAGUGGGUAAAGCUGUGGGGAUCUGCGCAUGACCUAGGAGGGUAUGAAGGACGGAGUUUAUUGCGAAAGGGGAGUGGGUUGAGGCUGAAGGAAAUCUCUCUUUAGGGAGAGCUGCCGAGGCAUGACUCAGAUUUCAGAGGCGCCUGGGCAGAGGGGAACGUUCAUGCUCACGUCCCCUGUGAGGCUGGGGAGCCUGGUGACUAACUCCCAGGCACACCUGCCUUGGGCUGAGUGUCCUGGGUGGCAGGAGCAAAGGAAGAGACGAGACAGGAACGCACUGUUUCCCUGGGGAGGCCAGCUAGGCCCAUCCCUAACGAUAGCAACAAUAGCUUACAUCAUUAGGACUGAGUGUACAAGAGUGGUGUAAGCGCUUUGCAUGUGUUACCUCAUGUAAAACCUUACAAAGUAGAAGCUUAAAGAUGAACAAACGGAGGAUCAAAGAGACCAAAGGACUUGCCCAAGGUCACACAGGGAGGAAACGGCAGCCUCAAGAUCGGAACUCCAGUAGCUCAUCUCCAGAAUCGAAGUUCUCAGCCAGAGGAGCUUUGCUGUGUACGUGUGUGUGCACCGAGGCGGGUGCGUCUGCAGAUGACAGUGAACUCUCAUGGAAUCCUCCAGCACACACGAAUCACUGUCAUCUGAGAGUAAAACCGAUUUCACAAAACUACAGCCACAGACAGAGAAAGGUGGAAAGGUUUUCCCCAACAGACGAAUCUGAUGAAGGUUCACCCAACCAGGCUUCUGUGUGA
This 1300-nucleotide long non-coding RNA is filed under the name Capra hircus (goat). RNAcentral describes it as "lncRNA (ENSCHIG00010000220.1)". Lineage: Eukaryota; Metazoa; Chordata; Mammalia; Artiodactyla; Bovidae. The record is from RNAcentral.